Engraulis encrasicolus (European anchovy) is the source of this 1029-nucleotide long non-coding RNA. RefSeq lists it as uncharacterized. The record is from RefSeq and is a predicted model, not a curated record. The transcript has 3 exons. Lineage: Eukaryota; Metazoa; Chordata; Actinopteri; Clupeiformes; Engraulidae.
UUUGGCUGUGUGCGUUUAGUCCUAUUGAUGUUGUAUACGCAACCUAAGUAAUUUGGGUCACUUCCUUCUAGUGGUGGCGUAUCCAUACCCCACGGGAAACCGGUUGGUAGAGAGACUUCCCUGAGCAUUGGCAUCGCGGAGAGAAAGCGUGCUUUGAGCGAGGGUCGGCAUUGCAGAGAGAAAAUUGACUACGUGUGAAGUUGCGACUACAACCACAUCCUACAAAAAACGGGUGCUUGCUUCAAGACGUCAUAUGAACCGGUGUUUAAUUGUGGAGUGCGGAAACUUCGCGACCAGCCGAAGGUGGAGGUGCCAGUGGGACAAGCUUCUUGGCUGCAGCUCCAGCGUGCGCUGUGGUCACUGUUUCUCUCCCUGGAGAUUUGACUUGGACUGUGCGCGCCCAAUGCGCUUGAGCGUGCGGGUGCGCGUGUGACUGUGUGAGCGUCUGUGCACUGUGUGGUGCCUACACUCGGCGCAGGCCGCAACUCUGACAGCGUGUGAUUGUGUGUGUGUGGGUGCGUGUGUGUGUGUGGGGUAUUAGUGGGGUGGUCUAGGGAAAAGUGCAAUUUUACAUUCUUUGACUAAGUGGAUCGUUUUGUUCUUUUUUUCUUUCUUUUUCUUAUCUGGGGUUAGCUGUGAAGACAUCUGGGGACAGGUUGGCUUUGGGGGGGUCAGUCCGAUUGGGAAUAGGCAGACCGCUGGAUUGCUGUGCUUUGCUGUGAAAUCUAGUUAUAGUGGGGUGCGGUUAUUUGUUUUCUUUUGGGGUAUUUUGUUGAUUUGCAUGUUUGUUUAUUUUCUAUGCAUGGUGUGCUCUCAUCCUUGUGCCUAACCCAUUCUGACUGUACUAGCUGACCUGUCACUCAUCCCUCCUAUUUGUGACCUGAGAGGGGGUAGCACAGCAUAGUCCCAUACCUCUUUUGUUUUGUUUGUACCAGUCCUUAGGACCACAGUCGACUGGGCCCAGUGCUGUACCAUCUGAAUAGGCACAGCAUCAGAUUGCUGUGAGUUUGCAGUGCAAUAUUUAUUCUU